AUAGUACCAUUUUGAUCUAUACUAUUAAUUAAAUGGAACAAUGUUUAGUGGGCCAUUUUUGGUAAGCAGAACUGGCGAUGCGGGAUGAACCGAAAGUUAAGUUAAAGUGUCGAAAUAUAAGCUAAUUUAGAUAUCAUAAAAGGUGUUGAUUUAUAUAGACAGCAGGACGGUGGUCAUGGAAGUCGAUAUCCGCUAAGAAGUGUGUAACAACAUACCUGCCAAAUGAAUUGGCCCUGAAAAUCGAUGACGCUCAAGCUUAAUACUUAAACUUAACCGUUAUUGCGAAUUAAUUAGCUUUAACGAGUAGGAGAACGUGAAUGUAAUUAAAAAGUUUAAUGAAGUGAUUCUAAAUGAAAUUGCAUUUAGUGCAGAUCUUGGUGGUAGUAGCAAAUAUUCAAGUAAAAUUCUUGAAAACCGAUGAAGAGAUAGGUUUCAUGAGAACAGCAAUUGAUCAUGAGUUAGUCGAUCCUAAAGUAAAGAUU
Molecule: ribosomal RNA, 482 nt
Filed under: uncultured eukaryote
Lineage: Eukaryota
Description: eukaryotic LSU rRNA
Rfam family: Eukaryotic large subunit ribosomal RNA
Source: RNAcentral